AUUGAAAAAGUAAAAAUAUUUUUAAAAUUCUGUAUCUGGCAAAACUAUCUUCCAGAAUGAAAAAGAAAUUAAGAUGUUUCUAGAUAAUCAGCAACUCAGGAUUUCCUCUUGAGGUAUAAAGGCCCCUCUGACCCUGAAAAUGGAUAAAUGGCACUGAAUGGAUCAGAAAUUUUUCUAUCAGAGGAAGAAGAGACUGUGCCUAUGUGAGUGACAAAGGUGUCCGCCCUACACAGAGAAGAAGUGGAUUUGUUCCAAACCAGACAUAUAUGCCCAGAGGAGGAUGCAAAGCCUUACCUGAUCUUCAGAUAUACACUGGAUGUAUCUGAUUAUCUUUCUAAAUAAAAGACUUAGUUUUCUUUUAAAUAUUUAAUAUAAUUGCUUUGUUUGCAAUUCAGUGUUUUCAUUUUACUGAGAUUUCUAGGAAUAUAAUCCUGAAUGCCAGCUGAAAGUUUGUUUUAGUUAUUGUUUUUUAAUAAAAAAAUUGAUUCUCAUUUAUUGA
This is a long non-coding RNA of Pteropus alecto (black flying fox), 499 nucleotides long. RefSeq lists it as uncharacterized. The transcript has 3 exons. Lineage: Eukaryota; Metazoa; Chordata; Mammalia; Chiroptera; Pteropodidae. The record is from RefSeq and is a predicted model, not a curated record.